GGAUAGUAGCUCAGUGGUAGAGUGCUUGCCUAGCAUGUGUGAGGUACUGGGUUCGAUUCUCAGCACCA
RNAcentral lists this transfer RNA (68 nucleotides) under Marmota monax (woodchuck). Its description in RNAcentral is "tRNA.Ala". The stretch from base 6 to 64 matches the Rfam family "tRNA", at positions 7 to 64 of the family's 71-position model. From Rfam's summary of the family: Transfer RNA (tRNA) molecules are approximately 80 nucleotides in length. Their secondary structure includes four short double-helical elements and three loops (D, anti-codon, and T loops). The record is from RNAcentral. Lineage: Eukaryota; Metazoa; Chordata; Mammalia; Rodentia; Sciuridae.